GAAAUGCGAUAAGUAAUGUGAAUUGCAAAAUUCCGUGAAUCAUUAAAUCUUUGAACGCACCUUGCGCUCUUUGGCAAUCCAGAGAGCAUGUCUGUUUGAGAAUCAGUUUAAAUCUCACCUCCAGGAACUAACCUUCCGGGAAGUGGUUCUGGGUUUUCUGUGUAUGCAGAAUGCCUUAAAUCCAAGUUGACUGGUAUAAAACUGUUUAGAAACCGGAAAGCAUGACCAAUGGACUCUUGUUCAUGAUUGCUGACAAAGGAACUAAGGGUUUUAUAUUCACUUCAAACCAAUUUAAACACAAAGGCCAACACCUUUAAGACUUGAUCUCAAAUCAGACAAGACUACCCGCUGAACUUAA
RNAcentral lists this unclassified non-coding RNA (358 nucleotides) under uncultured Chytridiomycota. Its description in RNAcentral is "sequence contains ITS1". The stretch from base 1 to 105 matches the Rfam family "5.8S ribosomal RNA", at positions 50 to 154 of the family's 154-position model. Lineage: Eukaryota; Fungi; Chytridiomycota. The record is from RNAcentral.